This 710-nucleotide ribosomal RNA is filed under the name Streptomyces sp. Its description in RNAcentral is "bacterial SSU rRNA". It matches the Rfam family "Bacterial small subunit ribosomal RNA", at positions 87 to 811 of the family's 1533-position model. The record is from RNAcentral. Lineage: Bacteria; Bacillati; Actinomycetota; Actinomycetes; Kitasatosporales; Streptomycetaceae.
GUGGAUUAGUGGCGAACGGGUGAGUAACACGUGGGCAAUCUGCCCUUCACUCUGGGACAAGCCCUGGAAACGGGGUCUAAUACCGGAUACCACUCCUGCCUGCAUGGGCGGGGGUUGAAAGCUCCGGCGGUGAAGGAUGAGCCCGCGGCCUAUCAGCUUGUUGGUGGGGUAAUGGCCCACCAAGGCGACGACGGGUAGCCGGCCUGAGAGGGCGACCGGCCACACUGGGACUGAGACACGGCCCAGACUCCUACGGGAGGCAGCAGUGGGGAAUAUUGCACAAUGGGCGAAAGCCUGAUGCAGCGACGCCGCGUGAGGGAUGACGGCCUUCGGGUUGUAAACCUCUUUCAGCAGGGAAGAAGCGAAAGUGACGGUACCUGCAGAAGAAGCGCCGGCUAACUACGUGCCAGCAGCCGCGGUAAUACGUAGGGCGCAAGCGUUGUCCGGAAUUAUUGGGCGUAAAGAGCUCGUAGGCGGCUUGUCACGUCGGAUGUGAAAGCCCGAGGCUUAACCUCGGGUCUGCAUUCGAUACGGGCUAGCUAGAGUGUGGUAGGGGAGAUCGGAAUUCCUGGUGUAGCGGUGAAAUGCGCAGAUAUCAGGAGGAACACCGGUGGCGAAGGCGGAUCUCUGGGCCAUUACUGACGCUGAGGAGCGAAAGCGUGGGGAGCGAACAGGAUUAGAUACCCUGGUAGUCCACGCCGUAAACGUUG